RNAcentral lists this transfer RNA (87 nucleotides) under Candidatus Magasanikiibacteriota bacterium. RNAcentral describes it as "Candidatus Magasanikbacteria bacterium tRNA-Ser". It matches the Rfam family "tRNA". Rfam says of the family: Transfer RNA (tRNA) molecules are approximately 80 nucleotides in length. The record is from RNAcentral. Lineage: Bacteria; Candidatus Magasanikiibacteriota.
GGAGAGAUGGCUGAGCGGUUUAAGGCGGCGGUCUUGAAAACCGUUGAGGGUUAACGCCUUCCCAGGGUUCGAAUCCCUGUCUCUCCG